UUGACGGGGCCCGCACAAGCGGUGGAUUAUGUGGAUUAAUUCGAUGCAACGCGAAAACCUUACCUACCCUUGACAUGCUAGGAACUUGCCAGAGAUGGCUUGGUGCCCGAAAGGAACCUAGACACAGGUGCUGCAUGGCUGUCGUCAGCUCGUGUCGUGAGAUGUUGGGUUAAGUCCCGCAACGAGCGCAACCCUUGUCAUUAAUUGCCAUCAUUCAGUUGGGCACUUUAAUGAGACUGCCGGUGACAAACCGGAGGAAGGUGGGGAUGACGUCAAGUCCUCAUGGCCCUUAUGGGUAGGGCUUCACACGUAAUACAAUGGUCGGUACAGAGGGUUGCCAACCCGCGAGGGGGAGCCAAUCCCAGAAAACCGAUCGUAGUCCGGAUUGUUCUCUGCAACUCGAGAGCAUGAAGUCGGAAUCGCUAGUAAUCGCAGGUCAGCAUACUGCGGUGAAUACGUUCCCGGGUCUU
RNAcentral lists this ribosomal RNA (470 nucleotides) under uncultured Gallionellaceae bacterium. RNAcentral's name for it is "bacterial SSU rRNA". It matches the Rfam family "Bacterial small subunit ribosomal RNA", at positions 910 to 1382 of the family's 1533-position model. Lineage: Bacteria; Pseudomonadati; Pseudomonadota; Betaproteobacteria; Nitrosomonadales; Gallionellaceae. The record is from RNAcentral.